Molecule: transfer RNA, 75 nt
Filed under: uncultured Actinomycetes bacterium
Lineage: Bacteria; Bacillati; Actinomycetota; Actinomycetes
Also listed under: 1 other name
Description: uncultured actinobacterium tRNA-Arg
Rfam family: tRNA
About the family: Transfer RNA (tRNA) molecules are approximately 80 nucleotides in length. Their secondary structure includes four short double-helical elements and three loops (D, anti-codon, and T loops). Further hydrogen bonds mediate the characteristic L-shaped molecular structure. tRNAs have two regions of fundamental functional importance: the anti-codon, which is responsible for specific mRNA codon recognition, and the 3' end, to which the tRNAs corresponding amino acid is attached (by aminoacyl-tRNA synthetases). tRNAs cope with the degeneracy of the genetic code in two manners: having more than one tRNA (with a specific anti-codon) for a particular amino acid; and 'wobble' base-pairing, i.e. permitting non-standard base-pairing at the 3rd anti-codon position.
Source: RNAcentral
GCGCCCGUAGCUCAACGGAUAGAGCCACUGGUUUCUACCCAGUCGGUUGGGGGUUCGAGUCCCUCCGGGCGCACC